Molecule: ribosomal RNA, 388 nt
Filed under: Vanacampus poecilolaemus (Australian long-snouted pipefish)
Lineage: Eukaryota; Metazoa; Chordata; Actinopteri; Syngnathiformes; Syngnathidae
Description: partial 12S ribosomal RNA
Rfam family: Bacterial small subunit ribosomal RNA
Source: RNAcentral
GCAUAGCCGUAAAUAUUGGUAUUAUUAUGUACCUAUAUAUCCGCCAGGGGAUUACAAGCACAAGUUUAAAACCCAAAGGACUUGGCGGUGCUUUAUAACCAUCUAGAGGAGCCUGUUCUAGAACCGAUAACCCCCGUUAAACCUCACCUUCUCUUGCCUUUUCCGCCUAUAUACCGCCGUCGUCAGCUUACCCUUUAAAGGAUAUAAAGUGAGCAAAAAUAGUACAACUCAAAACGUCAGGUCGAGGUGUAGUUUAUGGGAAGGGAAGAAAUGGGCUACAUUUGUCAAACAGACAUAUAACGAAUAAUCAUAUGAAAUAAUGAUUUGAAGGAGGAUUUAGCAGUAAGAAGAAAAUAGAGUGUUCUUCUGAAUUUGGCACUGAAGCGCG